CGGUAUCGAAAAUACCGGUGCAGUCAUCAAGCCGUCACUAGGGGGUUCUAACGAUAUUAUCGGACUCAGUGCUGUACCGGACUCAAUACCUUGCUAGAAACGUUAGGCCCUUUAACAAGAUUCCGACUCGUGACCUAGACAAGUCUCCAGGUCUGGCCAGAAACUUCGAAUUUGCUCAGCUGUCGCCAAGGCAUACGUUACUUGGCUGGCUUCCUCCGGAACCCAAUGUGGAGGGCCAUCUCACUUAUAAUGUCCAGUAUGGCGAGACAGAAGUCAUUGAAGACAUACCUGGGAAACAACCUCACGAAGAAUACCACGUAUCCAAUGAGUAUUCGUGCUGGCGUGGUGCUGAAAAAUGGCACUAAACUGUAUGGGCCACCACUGAACAAUUCGUUUACCACGCUCGUGGAAGAUUAUGCUCCAGCAACGAAUAUCCGUCUCGCGCACACCUAUUCGAGCCGGCGAAGCCAUCCAGCCUAGAGUAACUACGCCUCGUACAGGAUCGCGUGGAGAGCCGAGCGAGGACCGAAGGACGUCGACAAUUUCACCGUGCUCAUAUGCCUGAAAACUAGCUGUGUCAUUACUAAAACACAGAAAAAUCAAACAUUAUGCUCCAGCCUUCUCGAACGUACGAUAUCAGAAUUCAAUCAAACUACCAUCUUCCUCUGAACCAGAUGCGUCAAGAAGAGUCUUAAUAUCGUUCACCACAGAUGCGACUUCAGACACUAAAGCGCCAGAAGCUCCAAAAAACUUGCAAUUUACUCCGUUGACAUUAACGAAUGUGCUACUCCGUUGGGAUCCUUCAUAUUCGUAGGACAAUGCUGACGUUUCUUAUGAUAUAAAAUUCGCUGGUAGACUGAUUAAAGGCUAGACGGCAACAACGUUUACGGCAUUCAAUUUGAAGAAGAGAAAUAAAAAGUAUUCGGUUGUUAGUACUCCAUUCGUAACGUUGAAAAAUGGCAAAAAACUAUAUGGACCAGCACUUCACAGCACGUCCAUCACGCUUUCAAAAGACCGAGCAGGAACCAAGACUACUAGAUAACUUCACCGUGUUUGCAUGUUACACGAGGAUAAACUGUACGUCUGAGCUGACCAAGCAUACGUCUUGACAUGAGGCCUCAAUAUCCUCGAAGGUUCAGAACAUAUUCGGUUAGUGUCGUUGCAAAAUUAAAGGCUGAACUUGGCGAACGAACGUAUGGACCGCCGCUGAACGGCUCUUUUACCGCAGUCGUUGAAGAUUUUUUUUUACAGAUUACCCUUAUAUGUCAAACGUUAAUAUUUUUGGCCUGGUCAGGUUUAUAAACUGGGUAAAAUUCACGGUGGAGUGGAAACUUCUCAGCUCCACGCGGCGACCAAAUGGAUAUAUCGUGUAUUCUAUAUGGGAGAGACAUUCAGAUCGCGAAAACGCCAGCAGUAAGCUACAGAGGAAGUCGUCUGCUCGUCAGUCACGCAGUUCAGCCCUUCGAACUAAGUAUAAUGGACCGUCAAUAGCACAAAGCCACACUGACGUGUUUGUGAAAUAUUUCCGGUUAUUAUUCCGGUCAUUUCAGCGAGAUAAGGCCGUGUUCAGAAAUGUAUCGACAAGGGUUAACAUCCUUGCAAUAGAGCCGGGUCCUGUAUGGAGGAUUAGCACUAAUGCUACUUCUAGUAGAGCAACGCUCGUGUGGAAACGUCCCAAAAACGUACCACACGAGAUCAUUUGUCACAUCAUCGAUGCUAAAAGUCACAUCAACUUAGCGUUAUAUCUAUAUGAAAGUAACAUUUGAAAAUCAGGAUUUCGACGGGGUUUCGCAAGCCUUCGAUUUUAAAACAGACGUUGGAGUUCCUGGCGCCGUGCAGGAACUGUACGCAUGUCGGCGGGAUGCACUGGCAUAGUAAGUGGCUCUCAAAGGUAACACAUCUGCAAGGAAAAGCUGCCGGAAAAAUGACUGACCUCCACAUUUUGUGGAAGCGGCCUAAAUAUCUCUAUGGCCCACUGGACGGCUUUGAAGUGCAAAUUUUUAAUAAUAUGAACGACAACUUCACGCUACCAGGAUACCAAAAUUCAUUUAUAUUCACUAUAAACAAAGUGCAUCAAAUGUAAGUAUA
Molecule: long non-coding RNA, 2088 nt
Filed under: Varroa destructor (honeybee mite)
Lineage: Eukaryota; Metazoa; Arthropoda; Arachnida; Mesostigmata; Varroidae
Description: uncharacterized LOC111244337, transcript variant X6
Source: RNAcentral